GGCAGGGGAAAGAGAGCACGCCCACCCUCGUCCUAACCAGGGACAGUCCCGGGUGUCACGCUGGCUUGUCUUCCUGUGUUGGGAGCUGCAGAGAAAGUACGUGGACGGCUCUGGCCAUGGAUUUCAAUCUGGGGAAUGACACCUGGGUCUCAGGAGGGGCCUGCUCGAGUCGGAAACUCAUGUCCAUGGAGGGUAGGGUCCCCAGAGACUUCUACAACCACGUUCAAGCCACAGAUGGAGGUCACAGGUGGCCUUGCUCAGUGGCCCUACAUUACCUCCUUGCCCAGAAGCUACAAAUCGAUGUGCACAGACAAGAAAAUCCACUUUGGGCCUCGUCCCAAAGAGCCAGAUGUUCCCUGGGAUGGAUGUCAUGCAUCUUCAGGCAAGCCAGGAUGACAUCUGGAGCAGGUGACAUCUGCCAGAGGCAUGCUGUGUGACCGCUGUGGUCUAAGGUAACAUCCUGGCAAGCCAGUGGACUCACAGAGAGGAAGGGCAGUCUGGGUCACCUGCCUGUCGUGGGAAAGAAGGCAGGAAAAGCAGAAGAGCCCGCCAGGUUCCCGCCUGAGAGGACACCGCCAGCCUCCUGUGGCACCUGCCUAUGCUCAGGGAUGAUUCAUUCAUUCAAUCUAUCCCUCAUUUCAGCCAAACUCAGGGCUGGUUUGGCCCAGGGUUGAGAGCUAAGAGGAGAGUAGUGGGUUGGGCAUGGGGGCGGGGGGGCUCCUCUUUGACUUCUAGGCAGGGGAAGUGGGCCUUGAGGACCAAGGGGACCCAAUUUCUCUGCAAUAGGCAAACUGGCCCUGGGGCCACUCCACCUGGACCCACACAAAGUAAAAGAGGCUUGGGGUAGGCAGCAAGGAGUGGGCUUGGAAAAGAUACCACACACCAGGGUCCUCAGUGGUGGAAUAGUCCUUGAUGCACGGGCCGUGUCUACAGUGUGUGAUAGCGGGGUAGGACCCCAAGCUGGGGCUGCAGGAGGAUAUGAGGGGAUAGAGGUGAAGAGCUCCCUGCAGGUACUCCUCCCUGGCUUUCUCCCCCUGUUCUGGAUUCUUCCCAGAAAGCAGGUCCCCACCCGCUGCCCCUUUCUCUCCUGAAUUGGUUCUGGUUUGGGCAGCAUCGGAAUGCUUGGGACCCGAUGCAGAGCCACUACACCUCCUGCAGGGUCUUAGGAGAAUCCUGGUGGGGAGUCUCUUCCCGGGGACCCCACCUCCCAUCAGGCGCACUGGGGAGGAUUCAGAUCACUCUGGGCUAUACGCUCCCAUUUCCCAUCUGUGGUUCACAUAGGGAGAUGCUCAUCUGGCCUCGGCUUUCCUGAAUGCCAGCUCCCAGCACCUGCUCUUUGGAGUGAGCCAGGGUGAGGGCGUGAGAGGGAGCUCCAGUGGGGUCCCUGACGGGCCCUCCUCCCCUACUUAGAGAGGUCUCCGGGCUGUCCUCCCACAGCGCCCUGUCCUGGGGACUGGGGGACAGGACUGCCACCUGUGCUGUGUCCCCCUGUGCUGUGGGAGGGCCAUGGUCCCAAGGACCACCUCUGAAAAGGUUUCCCUGAGGAAGCACCACUGGGUCCUUGCCAGGAACACAUCCUGGCCCCACAGUGGGGUUAGCAUCGAGGCCAGACUCCUGGCCUGUGAGAUCCUGCAUGACAGGCUCCGCCCAGCGCCCCACUUCAUCUCCUGCUCUCCCCAAGCUGCUCUCUGAAUUUCAGCUCUACUCAUGUCCCUUCAUCCAAACUGGACUCUGGCCAGUUCUUUGUGGCCACGGCUGCCUGUUGAUCAUGAUUCUCUUCCAGAAUAGAUCAUUCAGGUAAUGAUCUAUUACACGUGCUUAUUUUAUUAUCUGAUUUUAAGAUAAGGACGGGGACCACAUCCGGCUUGUUCCCUGCCAGGAAUCCCGUGCCCAGCACACAGUAGGCCCUCAGCUGACUGCACCUGUGUUGCCACUCACAGACCUUUUUGCUUUGGGUCUCCACCUACUGGGUCACCAUGGGGUGCGGCCCAUGCCUUGCACCCAGCUGUAGGCAUCCACGACUGGCACCCCUGCCCCUGAGCUCUGGAGCUGAGUUGACAAUGUAGAAACGGCGCCUGGGUGCAGACACUCCCGGAACGGGCAUCUGCCCAGGCUCCUCCUUAAACACCAGUUGCCAUCUCAAAAGCCUGCUUUCCAUCCAAUAAGACCAUUGAUGAGAAUGUUGGUUGAAAUCCUCAGAUGUUUGGAUGUGAGUUCAGGGGCAGGUUGGGCUGGGAGUGUUUCCUUAGAAGGCACGACUGUACCACCUCCAGCUCUGGAGCCUUUCAACGUGGUACGCGGUGCAGGAAAACAGAAAUUUCCAUCUUAGCACGCUUUUGAGGCAUCAGAGCCAUUGAGAUCUCGUGUUCGGAUAUUCUUAAAGCAUUAGUCCUUCACAACCCAUUUUGAAAGGCCAGUUGGAGGAGGAAAACCAUUAGUAGGUUUGGUACCUAUUUAUUUUUGGGUGGAAACAAAGGCCGCCAGCAGAGCUGCUGUUAAACGCGACAUUCCCACAGCAGGGCUGGAACGUUAAAAGGGUGAGCGGCAGGAUUUAUUAACCUGGGCCUGAUUCGAAUGCCUGGCGGUAUUCACCACCUUAGCCUUGCGGUGCUUGUGGACUUAGCACAUCAGCACCCUUCCCUCCGUGCUGUGGACCUCGGGGGCCAGCACUUCCCUCCAUGUGCAGCCAGCAGGUUGAGGGACCGUGAUGUGUCAUCACUCUGGGACUUGGGGAGAGAGCGUCACCUGAGCCACACUUUGGGACCCUGGAGAAAAGGGAGUUUAUAGUAGGAUUUGUAGACCCUUUUUCUUCAUUGGCUUUCACUCCCCAUCCCCGACUUGAAUACAAGCUCCUCAAAGGCUGUGUUGUUUGAGGCUUUAUCCCAAGUGCCUAACGGUGCUUGACACAAACCAGGUGCUCAUUCACCAUCUGUUGGAUGCAUGAAGGAAAAGUUGGAUGGGUAGGUGGGUGGCUGGAUUGAUUGGGGGAUGGAGUGAAGCAUGGGUAGGUGAAGAAGGGGUGGAUGGAUGGAUGGUUAUAUAGAAGGGAUGAAUGGAUAGAAGGGAUGGAGAGGGAGAGGAGGAAGGACGUGCUGUUGAUAUUUCAACUGGGUUGAAAAGUUGGGUUAGAGCACAGCUUCUUCUACCCAAAGUUAUGAUGACAGGAAGGAGACGAAUGAGCUAUGAAAAGUGAGAACAGUUAAAGCACCCGGCGAAGCACCUCCCCCCUCACAUGUGUGCAUACACUCGCACACACCACAUACCACAUAUGCUUGUUCCUUGUCACGGAACAGAGUUAUACACUCAUGACCUUGUCUAUAUGCUGAGGACCUUGUAUGUCCUCCUAAAACUAUUAUAUAUGAUUUCAUGUCAAUUUUCUAUUUUUAGCUUAACUUUGUAUUGGGGGUGAUGGUAUCCAUCCAUCUACUGCUCCAUUCACCCAUCCAUCCAUUCACUAACGCACCCACCCACCUAUACAUCUAUCCACCUAAACAUCCACCCAUCCACCUAUCCACCCAUCCACUCAAUCACCUACUCUUAUCCAUCCAUCCAUUUAACCAUCCUACAUUUAUCCAUCUAGCCACCCACAUCCAGAUACUCAUCCAUCCAUCCAUCCACCCAUCUAGCCUCAUCCACCUGCUUACCCACAUCUAUUUAUCCAUCUUUCCAUUUAUCCAUCCAUCUGUCCAUCUAUCCAUCUAUUAAUUUUACCACUUAUCCAAACUUCAUAUUCACUUAUUCACCCAAAUUUCACAAGGACCCCACCAGAUGCCCAGCUAACCACUUACUACAGAUGUUAGACAAGUGAAUUAACCUCUUGCAGCCUAUUUCUCCAUCUUUUAAGAGGGGACGAUCCACAGUGACUGGAGAAUGAGUCAACAGGAACUACUCUUCGCAGGUGUUAAGUGGACAUUAGCACCAUUGCCAGUCCUUGCUUUUACUGGAACGGGUAACAGGCUGCCUGUGUGAGCCAGCUGUUUCCAGCUGGCACCAGAGUGUGUGUUACUGGGCAGAGAAGUCAAAGUGAACACAGCUCCAAUCUGGGGAGCUGUGUUUCUUGAGACAUUUUGCAGAUGGUCAGUUCCCUAACCCAUCAAUCCAUGCCUGGAAAGGCUUUGCCAAAGAACAGGAGAAAAUUAGCUCCUGUAGACCAGAGCGCACGCAUGGUUCUAAGCACCAGCAGUGAUGUGCAAUCCCCCACAACAGCUAAAGCAUCUUCUCAUUCUAUGUUAAUUUGAACCUCCCCAAAGUCCCAUUUUACAGAUGAGAAAAUGGAGGUUCCACAAAGAGUGAUCUAGACAGAAAUACAGAGCUGAUCUCAUAUCCCAGCUCCUUGACUCUAGCACUGGGCUCCCUGUGGGCUCCCUGCUCCAUGCAGUGACGAGCCCUGAGAGGGAAGGUGUCUUAUCCUCACAAUGUCCUGUUUUAUGCACUGUGUCCCAUAGCACCAGGAGCCAGCACCCCACCAUGGCUCAGGGUUGGGAGUGCCAACCCCUCUCGGGAAAGGAAGCACAGGGGGCCAUGCUGGGGCGCCUCCAUCCUGCCAGCACAGUGAGGAUGGUCUGAAGUUCCCUACCCCAAACUGUCAACAUUUCCCUUGUGUUCCAUCCAAGAACAGCCAGAUGGAAUUCCAACCACGUUGUUUUGACUGUUGUCUCUUCAGUGUUAAAGCUCAGACCCUACCUCACCCCCAGUACUGUCAGCAUCGUCCCUCUCUCUGCCCUGGAGCCAGGAAGAUGGGCAUGAAGCCACAGCGUCCACCGCUCUCUGCGCUGUGGCCCCAGCAUGGACUCUGGGCUCUGUCCUGCUUCUGAUGCUCCAGAAAUAGCACCCCACACUCCACAGCUGCCCGCCCCCAUGGGGUCCUGAGAAGAGAUCUGGGAAUGGAUGGUCAUCAGGAUGUCCCCUCCCACUGGCCACAGUGACACUAGCUGGGGCACCAGCAUGAGCCAGGACGUUUGUGGACUGGACAAGUGAGAGGUACCAAGCACCAGCUUCGUGCAGUUGCUCCAACACUCCCUAUGGAGACCCAAAGAAACCAACUGGAGUUGGGUUUCUGCCCAUUUGCAAGCCUAAGACCACCCCUGGCUCCAAGAGGAAGAAGGUGGGGAUGGGGAAAACACCAGGAACUCCUGAGUGAUGGGUAACAGCUCUGUGUCUCCUUGCUCAUACUUCCCACUGUCCGCUCCAGUCACACGGGACCCCUUGCCCCCACCCUGAUGUCCAGCCAGCCCACCUCCUUCCCCACUUCGGAAUCUUUGCUUCUCUAUGGAAACCCCCACAUGCCCUACGGAGGUUUAGAGGCUCUGUUGGGGGUGCCUGUGGCUCCGUGUCCUCAACUACACCAACCCUGGGAGCUCUCAUCCCUCCUAUCCUCACUUCUGGGUGGGGACAUAGCAUUUGCUUCCUCAUGGUGAGCACCCAGCACACAGGAGACUGGUAAUACAUGACCUUGUGCAACCAAUGAGAGAGCAGAGUCUGAAUGUCCCCA
Canis lupus familiaris (dog) is the source of this 5491-nucleotide long non-coding RNA. RefSeq lists it as uncharacterized. The record is from RefSeq and is a predicted model, not a curated record. Lineage: Eukaryota; Metazoa; Chordata; Mammalia; Carnivora; Canidae. The transcript is spliced from 3 exons.